GACGAACCGUGCGAACGUUAUUCGGAAUCACUGGGCUUAAAGCGCGUGUAGGCGGGACGGCACGUCGGUCGCUGAAAUCCCCCGGCUCAACCGGGGAACGGGCGCCGAUACGACCGGCCUGGAGGGACGUAGGGGGACCUGGAACUUCCGGUGGAGCGGUGAAAUGCGUUGAGAUCGGAAGGAACGCCCGUGGCGAAAGCGAGGUCCUGGACGUUUUCUGACGCUGAGACGCGAAAGCCAGGGGAGCGAACGGG
This 254-nucleotide ribosomal RNA is filed under the name uncultured bacterium. RNAcentral's name for it is "partial 16S ribosomal RNA". It matches the Rfam family "Bacterial small subunit ribosomal RNA", at positions 524 to 776 of the family's 1533-position model. The record is from RNAcentral.